Octopus sinensis (East Asian common octopus) is the source of this 270-nucleotide long non-coding RNA. RefSeq lists it as uncharacterized. The transcript has 3 exons. NCBI's taxonomy places the organism in Eukaryota, Metazoa, Mollusca, Cephalopoda, Octopoda, Octopodidae. The record is from RefSeq and is a predicted model, not a curated record.
CAUCAAAUCAUGUUACUGUACAAUAAAUAAGAAUAAAAGCAUAUAAAAUCAUAUCAAAAUACGUACAGUAAAUGUUAAGAUACACACCAUAAAGUAGUGUAGCUAAGUGAACGAAAUGAUGAAAUCAGCUGUGUUAUCUUAUUUAUCGGUCUUUCAAAGCUCAUAUUGCACAGUCGUUCCAAUAUCUACCGUUAGGCGUCGUUGUCACUCGUGAUUCCCGCGAUUGUUUUGAAUUCAGAUUUGUUUACAGAAAGGAAGAGCGUCGGGUAG